This 351-nucleotide ribosomal RNA is filed under the name uncultured bacterium. Its description in RNAcentral is "bacterial SSU rRNA". It matches the Rfam family "Bacterial small subunit ribosomal RNA", at positions 29 to 369 of the family's 1533-position model. The record is from RNAcentral.
AACGAACGCUGGCGGCGCGCUUAACACAUGCAAGUCGAACGAGAAGCCGUAGCAAUACGGUUGUAAAGUGGCAAACGGGUGAGUAACGCAUGGGUAACCUACCCUCAGGUGGGGAAUAACUCCCCGAAAGGGGAGCUAAUGCCGACGAUACCCAUCGGUCUCAUAAGAGGUCGCUGGAAAGCCGAAUCGAGGAUUCGGCGCCUAAGGAUGGGCUCAUGUCCUAUCAGCUUGUUGGCGGGGAACGGCCCACCAAGGCUNCGACGGGUAGCUGGUCUGAGAGGACGACCAGCCACACUGGCACUGCGACACGGGCCAGACUCCUACGGGAGGCAGCAGUGAGGAAUCUUGCGC